This 492-nucleotide ribosomal RNA is filed under the name uncultured bacterium. Its description in RNAcentral is "partial 16S ribosomal RNA". The stretch from base 62 to 492 matches the Rfam family "Bacterial small subunit ribosomal RNA", at positions 35 to 507 of the family's 1533-position model. The record is from RNAcentral.
GGGGGGGGGGGGGGGGGGGGGGGGGGGGGGGGGGGGGGGGGGGGGGGGGGGGGGAGCUGGGGCUGGGGGGGGGCGGGUGGCGGGCGGGUGAGGGGUGCAGCGGAGUCUACUUUUGCGGGGGGGAUAACGUGGGGAAACGUACGCGACUACCGCAUACGCCCUACGGGUGAAAGCGGGGGCUCUUCGGACCUUGCGCGACUGAAUGAGCCGAUGUCGGCUUAGCUAGUUGGCGGGGGCAAGGCCCACCAAGGCGACGAGCCGUAGCUGGUCUGAGACGAUGAUCGGCCACACUGGAGCGGAGACACGGUCCAGACUCCUACGGGAGGCAGCAGUGGGGAAUAUUGGACAAUGGGCGCAAGCCUGAUCCAGCCAUACCGCGUGGGUGAAGAAGGCCUUCGGGUUGUAAAGCCCUUUUGUUGGGAAAGAAAAGCAGCAGGUUAAUACCCCGCUGUUCUGACGGUACCCAAAGAAUAAGCACCGGCUAACUUCGUG